RNAcentral lists this ribosomal RNA (498 nucleotides) under Metschnikowia sp. (in: budding yeasts & allies). Its description in RNAcentral is "Metschnikowia sp. (in: Fungi) partial large subunit ribosomal RNA". It matches the Rfam family "Eukaryotic large subunit ribosomal RNA", at positions 38 to 530 of the family's 3401-position model. The record is from RNAcentral. Lineage: Eukaryota; Fungi; Ascomycota; Pichiomycetes; Serinales; Metschnikowiaceae.
GCAUAUCAAUAAGCGGAGGAAAAGAAACCAACAGGGAUUGCCUCAGUAACGGCGAGUGAAGCGGCAAAAGCUCAAAUUUGAAAUCCCCCGGGAAUUGUAAUUUGAAGAGAUUUGGGUCCGGCCGGCAGGGGUUAAGUCCACUGGAAAGUGGCGCCACAGAGGGUGACAGCCCCGUGAACCCCUUCAACGCCCUCAUCCCAGAUCUCCAAGAGUCGAGUUGUUUGGGAAUGCAGCUCUAAGUGGGUGGUAAAUUCCAUCUAAAGCUAAAUACCGGCGAGAGACCGAUAGCGAACAAGUACAGUGAUGGAAAGAUGAAAAGCACUUUGAAAAGAGAGUGAAAAAGUACGUGAAAUUGUUGAAAGGGAAGGGCUUGCAAGCAGACACUUAACUGGGCCAGCAUCGGGGCGGCGGGAAACAAAACCACCGGGGAAUGUACCUUUCGAGGAUUAUAACCCCGGUCUCAAUUCCAUUGUUGCCCCGAGGCCUGCAAUCUAAGGA